This is a long non-coding RNA of Esox lucius (northern pike), 1531 nucleotides long. The record is from Ensembl. NCBI's taxonomy places the organism in Eukaryota, Metazoa, Chordata, Actinopteri, Esociformes, Esocidae.
AGAAGACUAGCCUGGUUACCUGGCGUUUUCUGUAUUCAGAAGACUAGCCUGGUUACCUGUUUCUGUACGCAGACUAGCCUGGUUACCUGUUUCUGUAUUCAGAAGACUAGCCUGGUAACCUGACUAUUUCUGUAUUCAGAAGACCUGCCUGGUUACCUGACUCUUUCUGUACUCAAUGCCACAGUACGUUGCUGCCUUGGCAAGAUAACCACAAGUUGUCUAAAACAGAAACACACCGGUACCAACUAGUUACCCAGACUAUUGAACGAUGUGUUGGACUCUGUAAUACACUACAUUACCAUAGUGAUCAUGGUUGUAGAAUAGGAAAGUGUAGCUCCAGGAUAGGCCAGUGUCAAUGCUUUCUGUGUGUGUGGAACCAUAGAAUAAUUAGAAUUCCAUUAGAAUUUGGUUCUAAUAGGCCUAUUCUAUGUGUAGAACCUUAAGCAACUGUCAACAGACGUUCUCAGGGAUUUCUCUAAAACUAACAGAAAAAGGAAGAAAAAAAAGUACAGGAAACAAAAUGUGACACGACACGAGCAAGCGUAUAUUGUGCUGUGUAUAUACAAUAGUAUAAGUCUGAAUAUGGAGGAUUCUAAAGUAUAUGUUAACUAAUUUAUACAGAGUAUUCUAUGUAAUGUGAAAUACUUGAAGCCGCUGUAGCUUGUCCUUUUUCUAUUUUUCAUUUUCUUCUUUUAGAAUUUUGUCUUUUUUGGCCUCAUACCAUAUCAAAAAGACUGAUUUGGUCAUGUUUAUGCUAGGUUACUGAAAGUUCACAAAUGGGGUGUCAAUACUAAAACAUUGAUUCUGAUUAUUGGACUGCUAUCAAGUUUUUGGAGUCUGGCGGGGGAAAAAAAUCUUUGUCUCUCAAACGGUCACUUUUCACAAUGAUCCAAUUGACUUCUGGAACUGAUGUGCAUUAUUGGAUUCAUACACGCCGCAUAGUAACGCAAGCACUGACUUCUCAUUACACGGCCUCAUAACACUGAUCAGCUGUGGAGAAACCACUGACCUCCAGUUGUGCAGAACUCUGAUCCUCAAGGCUUACUGGUCUGCCUGUUUUCUCACUCAUCGGAUUCAAAGAGUUUAGAGUUAGAACAUGGCUAACCAGUGGUGUGAAACCUCUGGUCCCCGAUUGAAAGUGACCAAACCCUUAAAACCAGCAGGGCUGUGAUCCUUAAGGACAGGAGUUGUGCUCUGCUGUGGUGGGCUACAGUCCUGUUCUCUCUUUCAUCUGACCGUGCCGCUUACAAGACCGCUGUCUCUUUGUACGGUCGGGCCAUUGUACUCAGAACUUUUUUCUUUCUUUUUUUUUUCUCUCCUUUUUUUCGAAGCGCUUUCUCUUUUGUUCUUUAAAGAAGAAACAGCCUUUUCUCUUGCCUUGUCUUAAACGCUUUAAAGUAACCAAACAGGAGUUCUAACAACCAAACAAAUACGUUCCAAGAAGUGAAAGCCAAGCCACCUUGGUCCCAGCUUUAGUGUCCUUAAUUAGUAACUGACUGGCUGUGUACACUCUUUGUGCUUUGAACAAAGC